UUGUGUUUGAUCAAAGUCACACUAUGUACUGUCAAUGUAUGAAGAGGUCAACAUUUACAUGUGACUUAAGAUUAUUUACAACAUUAAGUUACCAAACAGAAUGCAGCUGAAAACCAGUAAACCUUUUGUUGGUUAAGAAAAAAAGACAUUAACAAGCAGUGGUUAGACAGGACAAAAUACUUCUCCACAAGAUGUCGAGCAGAGAUUUCGCCCUGAAGACUCAAGAACGACAGGCUAAUUCCGUGGUAAAAUACUAGGAGAAGUCUUUUCGCCUUGUUGUGCGCUUUCAAGAACUUCGCGAAAAUUACUUUCACAAUAAUAAUAGAAGAC
Molecule: long non-coding RNA, 330 nt
Organism: Pocillopora verrucosa
Lineage: Eukaryota; Metazoa; Cnidaria; Anthozoa; Scleractinia; Pocilloporidae
Source: RefSeq, a predicted model, not a curated record